AUUGAACGCUAGCGGGAUGCCUUACACAUGCAAGUCGAACGAGUCGCGGACGGGUGAGCAAUAUAUCGGUACGUGCCCAGUAGAGGGGGAUGACUACUCGAAAGCGUGGCUACUCUCGCUUACUAUUGGUGCGGCCGAGAGUGGAUUAGCUAGUGGGGGGGGUAAAGGCUCACCAAGGCGUCGAUCCGGAGCUGGGUUGAGAGGACGACCGGCCACACGGGGACUGAGACACGGCCCAGACUCCGACGGGAGGCAGCAGUGGGGAAUUUUGGACAAUGGGGGAAAGCCUGAUCCAGCCAUGCCGCGUGUAUGAGAAGGCCUUCGGGUUGUAAAGUACUUUUGGCAGAGAAGCGGUAUCUGCAGAAUAAGCACCGGCUAACUACGUGCCAGCAGCCGCGGUAAUUC
Molecule: ribosomal RNA, 405 nt
Filed under: uncultured bacterium
Lineage: Bacteria
Description: partial 16S ribosomal RNA
Rfam family: Bacterial small subunit ribosomal RNA
Source: RNAcentral